Molecule: ribosomal RNA, 253 nt
Filed under: uncultured archaeon
Lineage: Archaea
Description: partial 16S ribosomal RNA
Rfam family: Archaeal small subunit ribosomal RNA
Source: RNAcentral
AGAUACCCGGGUAGUCCUAGCCGUAAACGAUACUCGCUAGGUGUCGGCCACGGUGCGACCGUUGUCGGUGCCGUAGGGAAGCCGUGAAGCGAGCCACCUGGGAAGUACGGCCGACAAGGCUGAAACGUUAAAGGAAUUGGCGGGGAGCACCACAACGGGUGGAGCUUGCGGUUUAAUUGGAUUCAACGCCGGAAAUCUUACCGGGACCGACAGCAACAUGAAGGCCAGGCUGAAGACUUUGCCGGAUUAGCUG